RNAcentral lists this transfer RNA (72 nucleotides) under archaeon. RNAcentral describes it as "tRNA-Asn". It matches the Rfam family "tRNA". Rfam says of the family: Transfer RNA (tRNA) molecules are approximately 80 nucleotides in length. Their secondary structure includes four short double-helical elements and three loops (D, anti-codon, and T loops). Further hydrogen bonds mediate the characteristic L-shaped molecular structure. tRNAs have two regions of fundamental functional importance: the anti-codon, which is responsible for specific mRNA codon recognition, and the 3' end, to which the tRNAs corresponding amino acid is attached (by aminoacyl-tRNA synthetases). tRNAs cope with the degeneracy of the genetic code in two manners: having more than one tRNA (with a specific anti-codon) for a particular amino acid; and 'wobble' base-pairing, i.e. permitting non-standard base-pairing at the 3rd anti-codon position. The record is from RNAcentral.
UCCUCUGUAGCUCAGCGGUAGAGCCAUCGACUGUUAAUCGAUUGGUCCCAGGUUCGAAUCCUGGCGGGGGAG